RNAcentral lists this ribosomal RNA (161 nucleotides) under Rumex crispus. Its description in RNAcentral is "5.8S ribosomal RNA". It matches the Rfam family "5.8S ribosomal RNA". From Rfam's summary of the family: 5.8S ribosomal RNA (5.8S rRNA) is a component of the large subunit of the eukaryotic ribosome. It is transcribed by RNA polymerase I as part of the 45S precursor that also contains 18S and 28S rRNA. Lineage: Eukaryota; Viridiplantae; Streptophyta; Magnoliopsida; Caryophyllales; Polygonaceae. The record is from RNAcentral.
CGACUCUCGGCAACGGAUAUCUCGGCUCUCGCAUCGAUGAAGAACGUAGCGAAAUGCGAUACUUGGUGUGAAUUGCAGAAUCCCGUGAACCAUCGAGUCUUUGAACGCAAGUUGCGCCCGAGGCCUUCUGGCCGAGGGCACGUCUGUCUGGGCGUCACGCA